UGUAAAUGUGGUCUAAAGUCCCCUAAAAUUUUCCGCUCAGAUUUUCCCCUAAAAUUUGGCCGAAUUAUUAUGCCCUAAAAUAUCCCACUCUUUUCAGCUUUUACCAACUCUACAAUAGAAUCCCAUCCUUCAUCUUCUCUAAAAUUUGGCUCUUCUUCUAACUAGGAAGCAAAUUAGUGUGGGUUUUAUGGAAAUCUCUGAUGGAUGCGCUAUAUCUCUUCUAGUUUCUCUUCUAAAAAGUCAAAGCACUCUUUUCAUCUGGGUUCUUCGACUAUCAGUUGCAAUUGAGAAUUUUGAGUUUUGGGCUUACAAUCAUUGUUGAUCUCCAUUUUUCGAAAGCUUGUCAUUUUUGGACCCUUUUGAUGGUAGACGCAACAGUGAUCCUCAAUGUGGAGUUGUUUGCCUUCAAUCUCUCAUCGCUAAAGCUGAUGGUGGAGCCGUCGUGACCUCUGUCUAUUUCUUCCCUUUUCUCACUUCUCUUGAUGGCCCUCCCAAUGAUGACGCCCUUCUUUCCCUCAUCGCUCGAUCGUUGUUGGUUCUACAUCCGCAUAAAAAAGAAAUGGAUAUUGGUAAAAUUUAACUGAGAGCACAAAGCAGAGAAAUGCACUACGUUAGGAAAUUCUGGUGAGCAAUUGGAAAUGGUGGCCAAAAGAUAAUUUGAUGAAGACUUUGGACAAUUAUGAUUUUUUUUAUUCCUGAUACUAUAGUGAUACAUUUGGUUUUGUAAAGUUUAUUUCUUGUAUGCACCUUGAAAUAUUAGCAUCUUUUGUUGAUGUACUACAUGAGAUUUAUUCCCAUUUUGAAGUUCAUUGCAAGUACGUGCAUUUGAAAUA
This is a long non-coding RNA of Nicotiana tabacum (common tobacco), 833 nucleotides long. RefSeq lists it as uncharacterized. Lineage: Eukaryota; Viridiplantae; Streptophyta; Magnoliopsida; Solanales; Solanaceae. The record is from RefSeq and is a predicted model, not a curated record.